Molecule: long non-coding RNA, 212 nt
Organism: Empidonax traillii (willow flycatcher)
Lineage: Eukaryota; Metazoa; Chordata; Aves; Passeriformes; Tyrannidae
Exons: 3
Source: RefSeq, a predicted model, not a curated record
GAUGAAUCUCGCUGUAAUCUGCAGGUCUGCUCUACAUGUUAAGAAUUGCAAUGCAAUGCAAUUCACUGCACUCACCACUGCCAUUCAACAGAGAAGUCCAAACACCUCUCUGUGAAGUGUUCUCGGAGUUUAUCCCCUGCUGAAAGCCUCCUCUAAGUUCUUUGCUGUUGCCCAGCCAACACCUGAGGGAUCACAAACAAACCUGGGAGUAA